RNAcentral lists this ribosomal RNA (531 nucleotides) under Klebsiella pneumoniae. RNAcentral's name for it is "partial 23S ribosomal RNA". It matches the Rfam family "Bacterial large subunit ribosomal RNA", at positions 1183 to 1715 of the family's 2925-position model. Lineage: Bacteria; Pseudomonadati; Pseudomonadota; Gammaproteobacteria; Enterobacterales; Enterobacteriaceae. The record is from RNAcentral.
UAAACCAUGCACCGAAGCUGCGGCAGCGACACUAUGUGUUGUUGGGUAGGGGAGCGUUCUGUAAGCCUGCGAAGGUGACCUGUGAGGGUUGCUGGAGGUAUCAGAAGUGCGAAUGCUGACAUAAGUAACGAUAAAGCGGGUGAAAAGCCCGCUCGCCGGAAGACCAAGGGUUCCUGUCCAACGUUAAUCGGGGCAGGGUGAGUCGACCCCUAAGGCGAGGCCGAAAGGCGUAGUCGAUGGGAAACAGGUUAAUAUUCCUGUACUUGGUGUUACUGCGAAGGGGGGACGGAGAAGGCUAUGUUAGCCGGGCGACGGUUGUCCCGGUUUAAGCAUGUAGGCUGGUUGUCCAGGCAAAUCCGGAUAAUCAAGGCUGAGGUGUGAUGACGAGGCACUACGGUGCUGAAGUAACAAAUGCCCUGCUUCCAGGAAAAGCCUCUAAGCAUCAGGUAACAUCAAAUCGUACCCCAAACCGACACAGGUGGUCAGGUAGAGAAUACCAAGGCGCUUGAGAGAACUCGGGUGAAGGAACUA